AUUUAUAGAUUAUAUAGAUUUCUUUUAGGCACAGUUUCUUAAUCUGAAGUUUCUAAUUAAUCUGAUUGCAAAUUUAUCAUGUAUAAUACAAGAAUGAAUAAUAAUAAUAAAAAUCCUCCACUGAACACUGAUAAAAAAAACAUUUGUCACCUGUCUUCACUUGGUAAUCUCACACUUUACAAUGAAAUAUAAUGAAUAAAAUUGUGAAGAUUCUUUGGGAUUUUGGUGCCACUGUAUGUCCUAUGUUAUGAAGAAUAGCAAUUUAUGCCAACCUAUAAAGGAAGAAUUUCAGAGACAGCUAAACUUGAUAAUCCAGUAGACUCGGUUCAAUUGAGGUCCAAGAUUCCAAAAUUUGUUACAUUUUCAGCUGCUGUGGUUUGGUUUCACACUGCACUGUGUGAAAUGAACCAAACCCUGUUAAAAACCUGUUCACCCUCUUGCCUGUGGUGGCACUGUACCAAGAACCACCGAACCACUGCAAACAAGAUAUUUCAAAAUUACAACUCACUCCAUAAGAUUAGGUAACAAAAAAAGACAGCUUUAUGGUCAUUUCUGCUAUCUUAGUGAAUCCACAAUCAAUUCUACAGCAACACUGUUUAAUAUUUAAUGUGUUUGUCCAAUAUUAGGGUGGACCUUUCUAUAAAGCAAAACAUAAAAAACCCAAUAUAAAAAAGAAAGGUACAGCUAUAACAUGUACAAACAAACAUACAAUUUCCUGCAGUUCUUAAAUCUAAGGGAGGAAAGAUCCAGUUAUGAUGUCAAACUGUCAUCUAUUGAAUUAAUUCCUUAGCGAUUAAGAACAGACUGUGAGGUUUGUCUUUUCUUCAGAUCUUAUUGCUUGAUUUUGGGCCUCUGUUUGAUCAUUAUUCUGCCAUCCCAAUGGACAUGUCUUUCUUCAUCUGAAAAAGAUUGAUAAAAUAAUGGAAAAUCUGUUGGAUUAUUCAGUCUUUGUACUCAAAGGGGGCAUUGCUUUUCAAAUAUAAUGUAUUGGUCUUUUUCUUCAGUCUCACUGUUUUAUUACUACAAAAUUUGAAAAUUGAGUAGAGGAUCUAUGAAUGAGCUGGGGACAUAAGCUUUCUGCAACACAAUAAACAUCAUGUAGACAAAACAUAAUGAAACUACAACGACAUUAACUUGCAGACAAGCAUCUAAUCUGAUAAUUACACCAGAAAUAUCAAAGAAUAUGCCUUUACCCAGUAGCCCUGUCAUACACAAUGACCCAGUAACAGCAUAACUAAAUGCUCAUGGUAUGCUAUGCUAAUACUUUGCUGCAAUUAUGAAGAUUCACUCAUCUCAAAAAAACAAAUGUUCUUCAUUUGGGGGAUAGUCCAAUUGAUUUUCUUAAUAAUUAAUUAAGCAAAUAGUUAUUAGACAAUUUUGAGGCAAUUGUUUAGACUACUUUGUCUAAGCAAUUGGAUUUCCACUCCCAAAUGGUCAGACAGUCAUUAAAUACAGAAAAAAAGCAAGACAUUGCCAUCUGGCAAAAUAAACAUUUUCUUAGUCCAGUGCCUGAAUGCACAUUGGAUACCCUUCAUCUUAAUACACACAAAACCAAUGGAAAAGCAUCAUAUGUCAUAAACAUCCUUAAAGGUGUGACCAAGCUUCAUGUUUCAUAAAAGGCAAGUUUAAUUUCUUAACAUUUAAACCCAAGCAAAAACACAUUUUGGAUACAAUGUGUGAAUUAAAAUGAGGCAGCAGCUUACACAUUUUGCAAACUGGACAGACAGAAAGAAACAUUGGCAUGACAGAGUUAUUUUGAGCAUGUUUGGAUAUAAUUUACCAUCUAAGAAAUGUUUUUUGAAGGGUACACUCCAAAUGAUUACUUCUUGUGUUUUGCUUGUUUUCUUUGUUCUUAUCUCUGUUCAAGUUAUAAAGCCUUCAGCUUGCCUUGCUGCCCAACAAUCAGCUAGUAAUAUAAAACAACAUGAAACAUAGUGAAUUAGAGCUUCAGUUUAACACAGUAUCCACGCUUAACUAUUUUUUUUAUCAAUUCAUCUAUGUUCUUCCUUUUCACAAGUUUUGAGCUUCUCUGCUCAGCUUUCUACAUCACAAUACAAAUUUUGUGGAAUCCAUUUGGAUUUCAGAUUUUUUUAUUUGCUGUACUUGCUUUCAGGCGAGGCACACUCUUUUGUUUGGACAGAUGGCAGCCCUAACUAAGUACGGUUCUGCUGGAGGUCGCUUCCUGUUAAAAAAGUAUUUUUCUGCUUCAGUGAAGCCUGUCACCCUAUACAUGCAAAGGAUACUUGACUGAAUCCCAAUGAAGAUUUUAUACAACCUUGCUUUCUUAGUCAACAUUUUCUUCAACACAUUUUAGCAUUUGCACACCGGACUUUAAUUUAACUGCCUCUUAAUAUGACUUCUUGUGAAUUUUUAUAAUACAGUAUAAAUAAACUGAUCAAACUACAUACAAUUUAUGUCUAUAUCAGUGAAGUAAUAUCAAUUCAAUAAUGUCUCGUGUUUAAAUUUUAAUUAUUUCCAACCAUAGAUAAACAACAGAAUUGGUUGUUGAGGCUUAAAAGCUGUUAGAAACUUCAAGAUAUCUAAGGAGCCUGACGAGAAUCUGUAUCCAGCUCCAAAAGCACAACUAGUUUGCAGAAAACAUUGAGACAUUCAUUGCGUACUGAGGAUUUUGAGAGCAUUAACUUGGUUGUAAGUAUGGGAAAACCCAUUUGAGUGUUGGCUUUAAAUUUUUAGCAGCUGAAAUUAUUUAGCCACAUUUUUAGUGUUUCAACUUUUUAGCACUCAUCAGAGCAAAACAGGCAGCGAAACGUUGUGCAAAAGGGUGAACAAAAUUUUAUUGCCUUUCAUUUUCUUUUAUUCAUGCUAGCUGCCUCAGUUUUAAAUUAAUUAGGGAUAAUUGUAAUCUUGCUUUUAAAGUAUUUUAUUUAUACAAAAGAUUUCUUUAUACCAAAGCUGAUGUCAAAAGUUAUUUAUAAAUUAAACCUUUAUAGUUUACUACUUGGCGUUAUUGUAGUUUUCACACCUUUUCUGUCUUACAAGAUAUGGAAAAAACUUCAAAAGUUUUGCUUAGUUUAUUGCAGCCUCUUUAUUAUUUACAGUUUAGAAAAUCUCUUUCAAAGCCUUUAGUUGCAAUGUAACUGUGUCCCCAUAACUUGUUCAUCCAACCGGUUCAUUUUUUCCAAUUUGUUCCUUUUAUUUAUUAACAAAUCAAUUCGAAAAUUUCAGUGCUUACAUUGUCUAUAGCAAUGUUUGGAUGUUUACAGCUUAUGUCCGUUUACUGUGUAAGUGUACAGCUGUAGUUCUAUAAAUUGAGGUGCACAGGUUUUUCUUCCUUGAAAUUGAGCCAUAAAUAAAAUUUUCUCCUUCAGAUGCGGAGAAUAAAACAGCAACUGGAAGUGUUUCAGUAGCUGUCAUACACCCAGUACAAAUGCACUGGACUCUGACACUGCAAUGUGCUUGCUAGACAACCGCAUAACUAAGAUCUAUUAUAUACAAUAUUGAAAAAAAAAAAAAUAUAUAUAUAUAUAUAUUGUUCCUUUUUUUGUUAAAAAUGUUUCCAUGCUUGCCUUAUAAUAGUCCUUAAGUACAAAGACAAAAAAUAAAUUUUACAGUCAAGUUUUGGAAUUAAGUCUUAACUUUAAAACAAAUUAACAAACGGACAAAGCAAAAGUAUUUAGACAACUUCAAAGCAAUGGAUCCUUCACAUUUGCGAUACAUUCUUUGGAUGAUAUCUGCAAAUUAUAAAUAAUAUUAUGUCACUUUAACUGUCCACAGAAAACCAUUUUUUGUUUCUGUGCUUCUGUGGCCAGAGGGCUGCUGCCGACCUACCUGUGUUAGGCAGAUAGCUGCUCUGGGAGGUGCUUGGUGGCUUUCUGCUGGGGAACGCUAUGGCUUCUGGGGGGUGACCCUCAUCCUAAUGCCUACUGUUCUUGGGUUCAAAAUGUCAUGAGCUUCAUACCGUUCUCAACAUUAUAGCACAGUCUCAAUUCCAAGUGGCAAAUUAGCACACUUAUCCAUUACACAUGCACAAACACACACAGAAAUGUAAAUGUUGACAUAUACAUAAUCCCAAAGGCCAAAGGUCAUACCAACAGAGGUUCACAUUUCAUUAUGCAACUUGUCUACAUUGAUGUCAGUGGCACCCCGAUUUAAUAAAGUUAAUCACUCAAUUAGAUACCAUCCUCAUAUUCUUUUUGUAGAGCAAAGAUGCCCUCAAACAUGUUAGCAAAAAGCUCCUUCCUAUGGUAUGCCUGGAAUAAAAAUAAAUAAAUAAAUGCUCCUCUAAUUCAACUCACCUGAAUCAAAUUAAUGGUUCAUUAGCAGGUCUCUGCAGACUUGGAGACAUGCUAAGGGGGUAAUUCAGUCAUUUGAAUCAGCUGCCUUGGAGCAAGGACGCAUGUAAGACCGGCAGGACACACCUGCUCUAGAUAGAUGAAAAGAAGACAAAAGAGUAUGCACAAAGCUAGUAGAAAGCAAACAACUGCUGUUUUCAAUAGAAAGAAGAAUUGGUAUCUUCUUUGCUUGCCCAGAAGAGGCAACAUGCUGAGCUUUAGAACUAGUUGUGCUCGACAUAAAUGCUGGGCUCUGUAAGAUGCUGACAGUUUGAUUUGCAAAGUUAAAAUCUUGAUUUAACAAGCCUGACUGCAAGCGAACAAAUGAUCUCAUUCAAAACUGACAGACAGCUCAGAAAAUUGGAAUCAAUUGAAAUUUACAAGCUCAGUCACAUGUAUCAACAUAGAAAUACCAGGAAAUGCUAUCAAGGUUGCUGUGCCAUUUGGAGGUCAACUGAACAUACAGGAAACAAAGUGUUUCCUGCGUGUUGCCACUGGUUGUACUAUGCACUGUUCUAACAUGCAUACAUCACUUACUGUGGCUGACUGCUGAUGCCAGCUUCACAUGUUUAUUACAUGAAUAACAGACUGCUUGCAGCUGCUCCUUCUGAUAAAAGAACUCUGUGAAAUAGGGUUUUUUGAUAAGUACACAAUACUGAACUGAAAGGCUCAGGCUGAAAUUGUUUGUUUUUAUGCUUAUUUAUUCAUUUGGAAUAAUUUACAUAUGCAUUCUUUUUUCUCAACCCAUUCCUUUCACCUACUGUCUUUUCUUUUUUUUAUCAUUGCACUAUGAUGUAAAUUACAUGCCAUAAUUUUUCUAUUUGCAGAGAUGAAUGCUUGUCAGUUUGAUGGUUACAUCAUCUCUCUGUUACAUUAUGUUCUGAGAACACAACCAGAGAAAAAACCCUUAACUGUGUGUAGUCAUCCGGGGAGCGCGCCAUCGCCCAUUACCCCCAGUAAGCCCCCCAAACUCUGGUCUGAAAGCGCUGCAGACUUUUAGUGUCAAAUCCAGGAAAGCUGCUGUCACUCCUGUCAAUUCACAAGGCAGCUACCUACUCUCAAGGUAAACAAAUUAUCCCUGAAUAUAAACACUGUAGACUGUCUGUGCACUAUACAUUUAGUGGAAGACUUAAACUCUAAAGCAUUGCCACAGAGGCUUAAAAAUGUCAUAGAGUUAUGAGAUGCUUUUUAUAAGAACAGCCACCCGCAGAAUGUUUUAAGCUUUAUUUUUCCUAAUGCUGUCCUAUCACAUGCAUAUUAAAGCAAUCAUUGCUAAUGUCACAGCAUGGGAUAAUUUCACCCCUUUUCACCUGAAAAUUGUAUUAAGGAAUAUCUAUAUUCUUGAAUACCUAAAAGUUGACAACAUUAAGUAUGAUAUAAAACUUGCUUAAAAACAUUUGUGCUGUCAAAGUCACAUUUGGAAUGGUGAAUCUCUUAGCUGCUAAGACUUCAGUAGUGGAAUGUUAAGCUAUUUUUGGUCAACCAGUUCUUAUCUUUAUUCAUCAAAGAUAAGAAACUUUAAAAAUCUCACUGUUUGGCCAAAAAAGGAGAUUGAAAUGGUUCCUUGUUCAGUCGCUUUGAUCAAAUCUAUUU
Xiphophorus couchianus (Monterrey platyfish) is the source of this 5885-nucleotide long non-coding RNA. RefSeq lists it as uncharacterized. The record is from RefSeq and is a predicted model, not a curated record. The transcript has 4 exons. Lineage: Eukaryota; Metazoa; Chordata; Actinopteri; Cyprinodontiformes; Poeciliidae.